RNAcentral lists this long non-coding RNA (253 nucleotides) under Malus domestica (apple). Its description in RNAcentral is "long non-coding RNA (MDOM_LNC006753)". Lineage: Eukaryota; Viridiplantae; Streptophyta; Magnoliopsida; Rosales; Rosaceae. The record is from RNAcentral.
UCCUUUUGGGUUUUGUAUUUUCAUAGUUUAUGAUUUGAAUAUUGUAAUUGUUACAAGCUUUAUUCUUGCUUCUUUGAAUGUAAAUUUUGUUAGAAAAUUUGCCAUCUCAAAUGUUGUAGAUGUAGUUCAUAUGAGCAUGAAAUUUUGGAGCUAAAAUUUGGUGCCAUGUUUUUGGGGAAAUUUGGCCAAAUCCAAAGGGUGGAUUUUUGGGUUCUUGUUUGUCUUGUUAAAAGUGUUUUAAGGUGACUUUUGG